UUCUGUGAAUGUACAGGCGACUAAAUUUCCAUUUGUCGAUCGGUGAAGUAGUUUUUCAUAUUGGCAUUUUGGCAAAAAGCUUUCCGACCGCAGGAUUACAUUUGAAGCACUGGUUAUACCAAAAACAAAUUUUCAUAGACAAAGCAAAAUACAAACAAUAUUAAUUCAACGUAUGAUUUUAAGUGUGGAAAAAAAAUGGUGACAAUACAAACAAUAUUCGUAACAAAAUUAUUAUGAAAAUUUGGGUUUUAAAAAGGAUUUUCUAAAAACAAAAAUUUAACUAUUAUUUAGUCAGAAAGUAUCACUUUUGACGUUCGGAAGUGAAUUUCAACGAAGUUUAUCACACACUUGCAGGUGG
Long non-coding RNA from Aphis gossypii (cotton aphid), 358 nucleotides. RefSeq lists it as uncharacterized. The transcript has 3 exons. Lineage: Eukaryota; Metazoa; Arthropoda; Insecta; Hemiptera; Aphididae. The record is from RefSeq and is a predicted model, not a curated record.